GCUAUUUUGGCAGAAAAAAAUGUAAUGAUUUUAGAAAUCAUAAAUAUAUAUUUGUUAAUAUAUAUGUAGUA
RNAcentral lists this transfer RNA (71 nucleotides) under Agnidra scabiosa. RNAcentral's name for it is "tRNA-Leu". Lineage: Eukaryota; Metazoa; Arthropoda; Insecta; Lepidoptera; Drepanidae. The record is from RNAcentral.